This 669-nucleotide long non-coding RNA is filed under the name Fukomys damarensis (Damara mole-rat). Its description in RNAcentral is "lncRNA (ENSFDAG00000027611.1)". Lineage: Eukaryota; Metazoa; Chordata; Mammalia; Rodentia; Bathyergidae. The record is from RNAcentral.
GCUCUGCAGAGCGUGGCAGGCGACCUUGGCUCGCGCGUCUCCUCCCUCCGCGGAUGAUCGCGUCUAGGCCACCGCGGCCCAAGCAGGCGACUUCUACUUCAGCCAACCAGCACCGCCCUCCGCCCGGCCCCCUCGGGAAAUCUGCCUCCUCAUUGGCCGCUGGACAGAUAAGCGGGAUGGGAUUGGAGGGUUACCCAUUGGUGGGCUGUAUUGGAAUGCAACUAUUUGAAGUCGAGAUACGCACCCACUAAUUUUGUUGCUUCCUUAAAGAUGAAGGCUUAUGAGAGGAAGAGCACCUUACAGGUAAAAGGCAUGGACCCAUAGUUCAGUUUACAAACCUACUGUGUCCUUAAGACCCUUAGAAUUGUUCUUUUUUUUUCUUUUUUGAGAUUCUUGGAUGGGAAAAGGGCUUGAGUGACUUUUGUGUCCUGAAGCUGUAGUUUUUCUUAAAAGUAUAAGUUUAAAAUUGUGUUUUUUCUUGUCUCUUUGUAGCUAUCAUCGUAUUCUCUACCCUACCUUGAGAACACUGGAAAGCCCUCCCUGCCGGUGCUGUCAGCCUGACUCUUCACCUGGAGCCCACCGCCUUUAGCAGACUGUACCACCAUCACCAUGGCAAGUACCACCUUUCAUUUAGUUGCUGCUGUCUCCAUAAUCUUUUGCCGCCCCACU